UCUGAGCUUUUCUUGAUAAACUGAGUUCUCAGCCUUGUGGGAGUAUGAAGUACUUGAAAAAGAGUUGAGUAACUCGUCACACAAGAUGACGUUAACUCAUUUAAAAUUAGGUCUGAGGUAUAGAUGUGUCUGUCAUUUCAGAUAAUCUGAGAAUAACAGAGAAAUACUUGAGGUAGAAGUUGUGUGUCUCCAUUACUGUGUGGAUGCUGAUCCAACAAAAUGCUGUAAAAAUAUCAAGAACCUGAACUGACUUCAAACUAUGAAGCAGGUCCUUGAGCAUAUUUGUGUAUUUUAAAAAGACUUGAAGUGUUCACCUUUAGUCAGCAUUUCAGCUUUUUAAAAAGUGCUUGCUGUUUUGCACUGCAAGCAGUCAGUCAAGCAGAAUGAUUUACUGUCCUUCCCCGUCCUAUCUAUGCGAUGAUUUUGCUCUGUGUCUCUUUACAGGCUGCUUAUGUAGCAGCUUAGGGAGUGAACAGAUGUCACAGUGCUGGACAGCCCUGUUCGGGGUUAUGACCAGAAAAAAAAAAUCUAUAAAGAGUAUAAGAAAUGGUUCCUGUUCUGUUUAAAUUAUUUAGCUUUAUGUCAGAUUUCAGCCUCUUAACCUGGUAAGUUGCAGCAGAAUGCAGAACCACUUUAAAUUACAGUUCAGUUAAUACAUUUGUUACAUCCGAAUGUACGGUGCAGAUUGCCUGUUUCGCAGUAGAUGGGCAGUGGUUUAACACUGCUGCACCUCAAAUAGGAAUGCGAAUGCUGUUUCCUAUUAAAAAAAAUUGAGAAGGAAGAUAAUCUUUCUGUCAUAACCAAAGACAAGAAGCCAAACCAGAUUUUUUUAAUAUUAUUAUUUGCAAUAAUGAUGUUGGCUUAUUAUAGUGGAGUUUUUAAGCAACAUAAGGCCUUGAAUUUUGUGGUUUUGCAAGGAAUGCAUGGAGUGCUCUCUCGCUCAUUAUUACCACAACCUACCAUGCUAACAGGGUUCAUUUUAUAGAUAAUUGGUGUUUUAAGCUCAAGUUAAAAUAAAGGAAGUUCCACAAGGGGGGAAUCUAGGGGGUUGAGGCAACCCCCAAGAGACGUGUGGAGCAAGGCUGGGGAGGACAGUCGGCCAGGGACAGUGGGCUGCGGGAGGCUCGCUGGCGUCCCCUGGGAAGGGCUGUGGCACUGAGUGAGCACACACAGCCCGAGAAAGAAACCAGAGGGAUUAGACCGAUCAGCAGUUGCUGCUCAGCUUGAUCAACUGAGAUCUGAUGGGUUGGAAUGAGUGUGGAGACCAACAUGGGCAGCAUUGCAGGGGCACCUGCUACAGAUUGCCUGAUCAGGAAGAGGAAGCAGCUGAAGCCUUAACUAAGUAGAAAGAAACUCAUGAUUGUAGGCCCAGCUUUUUUGGGGAUGUAAAAUCGCUCUGCAGUGUGGAAGAGCCACUUGCCUGGGUAAAGGCAGUCCAAGCAAUUUUGGUGGGGCAUGAAGAGCGUUUGUUUUGGUUGGGUUUUUUUUGCUUUGUUGUUUGUUGCUUUUGUUGUGUUUUGUUGUGUUUUGUUGCUUUUUGACCCAGCAGCUAGAUUUGUUAUUCAGAAACAGGAAAGAACUAGCAGGCAAUAUACAGGUCAAUGGCAGCCUUGGUGGCAGUGACUAUAGGACCUUAGAAUUAAGAUCCCAAGAGGAGCGAGGAAGGUAAAUAGCAGAAUAAAGAUUCUGGACUUCAGGAGAACAGAACUGGGCUUAUUCAGGAAGCCUGCCUGUGAGUAUCCCUCAGGAAAUUGCUCUGGGGGGCAACAGGGCCUAGAAGAGAGAGGUGAUACUCAAAGACACUGUGCUCAUCGCACAAAACCGGUCUUUCCAGCUGAUGUGGGAGCAGGUACGGCAGAGGAACAGCUUGCCCAAACGGGCAAUGCUUGUCUGAACACAGACACCAAAAGGAAGGGGUUGGGGGGUGGAAGCAGGGAUGAGCUGUCCACACAACACAAAAGGAUUGCUCAGGCAUGCGGGGAUGGAAUUGAGAGACCAAAGCUCAAUUGGCGGUGAAAUUGGCAAAGGAUGUCAAUAGCACCAAGAAGAGUGUCCUUAAUAACUUUGGCAACAAAAGAAAGAUUAAUUAAAAUGUGAUCAUGCUUUUUGGCAAGGUAGGUGAAUAGCAUGGAAAAAGCCAAGGUGGUCGUUGCCUUUUUUGUUUCAGCUUUUACUAGCGAUGUCUACUCAGAAGUGUCUCAGGUUCCCCGAUCCUAGUGGCACAGGGAGUGAAAUACUGACCAUGAUAGAGGAAGACAGAGUUGGGGACUACAGAAGCAAACGGGACAAAGACUACUCUGUUGGACUAGAUGGGAUGCAUCUGAGGAUGCUGAAGGAGCUGGUCAUUAUUACUGCAAGGCUGCUGGCCAUUUUUCAUCUUUGGAAGGUUGUGGUUAUUGGAGGAGAUAUCCAGAUGACUUGGGAAAAGGCAAAUCUGUCUUUGCAAGAAGAAGGAAGAUCCAGAGCAUAAUAGGCUGGUCAACCUAACCUUAGUUUCCAGGAAAAUUAUGGAGCAAAUCCUUCAUAAUGGCCUAUUCUUCUCUGCUUUUCAGGUGCAUGAAAAACAAGGUGAUGAUUUGGAACAGCCAGUUUGGGUCUGCCAAGGACAAAUUGAACCUGCAUUGGCCUGUUUGCCUUCUCCGGGAGAGCUGGCUUGGAUGAGGGAAGAACAGUAGAUGUCGUUUACCUUGGCUUUAGCAAGGCCUUUGACAUGGUUUCACUGAGCAUUCCUGUAGCGAAAGUGGGGAGAUACAGGCUGGAUGGGAAGACCACAAGCUUGGUGGAAAACUGAGCAGCCAGGCUCAGAGUACAGUGGUUAGCAGGCUGACACUCAGUGGGUGGCCAGAUGGUGGGUGGUGGUUCUCAGGGGUGGAUACUGGGGCUGAUACUGUUUUAAGUUUUGCAUUAACCUGGCUGAGGGGUGGAGCAGGUUCUCAGCAGGUCUGCAGACAACACCACAUUGCAGGCAGCCUUUGACACACUGGGCAGUUGAACUGCCACUCGGAGGGAUCUUGGCAGGCUGAAAGAUGGACUGACAGAAAAGUGAUCAAGUUUAAUAAAAAUUAAAGCCUGCAGCCUGUGACCAAGUAAACCAAUGCAUCAGUAAAGGCUGGGGCCAACAGGACCAAAAGCUGUUUUAAACAAGAGGACAUGGGGGGUCCUAAGGGACGACCAGUUGAAUGUAAGUCAGCAUUGUGAUCUGCCAGCAAAGAUGGACAAUUUCAUCCUGGGCUGUGUUAGCUUGCCAUGAGGAAGGAGGUCAUCUCUGGCCUGAGAGACUCCUUGGUGACAGAAUGACAGUGUUUCAGUUCUGAUUUGAAGAACCUCCUCUUAUGAAAGAAGUCCAGUGGAUCCCUGUGUAAUUCGUGUUCGAGGUCGUGUUGUACAAGUGCAUGGUAGUAUAAAAGAAACAUUGGAGGUUGCAUGUAGUUUGUUGGUUUUGCAUGCAGUUUUUAAUAUAUAUUUGUGGCAAACUGAAAAUAUGACUGUAUUUAUAUAAUAUUUGCUUGAUGUUAGGCUGAACAGAAGCAUCACUAAAUGGAAUGAAAGUACUGUAAGCAAAAAAAACUUGUUGACUCAGUGUUUGCUCCAUGAAAUAGUUUAUUCAGUUAACUGAAGGCCUGAAGGCCACUCUGAGUUAUCUAAAAUAAUAUGAUUAGCUAAAGAGCAGCACUGAAAGAGCCUAGAAUACCAAACACAUACUUAAAAACUUAACCCCAAACCUAUCAAAGCCAAGGAACUGGGAGGGACAAUAGACAAGGAAAAUGUAUUAACUACUUUGUAUUGAGACUCCUUAAAUUGAUUUUAAUAUUAAGUUUGGAAUUGUCCCUUUUGUGUAGAAAAUCUACACUGAGUUUUUAGCCCAGGGAGGAGGUUGAGCUUUAAUUUUUAGAUCUGGAACUGGUGGUGUUCUUGAUCCAUACUUGCAUCUAAAUUACUCAAAGAGGCUCCAGUAAGAGCUGAGAUUGUGAGUACCUUAUGGCAGCCCUUACUGAGGUCCUGGUGUGUGAUGCCUCCUGCAUUCUUGCUACAGGUCUUAAGAUUCUCCCAAAGCCUGCAAAUGGAUCUGCCAGCACUGAGGAGCAGCUGCAGUAUAAUCAUGCUUGUUCCAGCAAAGAAGAUAGUGGGCUCGCCAGAUCUGAAAUGCCACCAUGCAGAGGUUUUACCCCCUGGCUUUUAUGUUUUUCAGUGAAAAGCAAUUGAGUAUCCCUCUGGUAAUAUGGUGCAAGCAAUAUGUCAGCAUUUUGUUAAGUUUUGCUAUAGAAGAGUUUGUAUAAACUGUAUGUUUUCAGUCCAUUUGGCUUUUAAGAGCGACAGUCAUUUAAUGAAUACAGUGAUAGUUGCAGAUGGUUCUAUGCUACAUCACUGAUUUGGGUUUUUCCUCUUUUGCAGCAAUACCUGUAGUUGAUUUAAGAGGUACUGCAUGAAUACAUGAUAAUUCACAGAUUGUAUAAAAUAUAGCCAGUGAUGAUAACUGUUCAUUAGUAAAUGGGGGAAAUAGACACACAGUCCAAAGUGACCAGGUCAAAGUCAUAGAGUGAAACCAAAUCCCGUCAUUUUUUUAAUAGCUAUUAUACCUGUAUAUCUGCAGAUUACUUCUUAAUUCAAUUUGUUGAUCAGUACAUGCCAUCUGAAAGUUUCAUCUUGGCCUUGCCUAGGCUGAGAGACAGUUAAGAGAAAUCAAGCUGGAACACAAGAGGUUCCACUUAAAUUUGAGAAGAAACUUCUUCUCAGUGAGGUUGACAGACACUGGAACAGGCUGCCCAGGGAGGUUGUGGAGUCUCCUACUCUGGAGACAUUCAAAACCCGCCUGGACAUGUUCCUGUGUGACCUCACCUAGGCGUUCCUGCUCCAGCAGGGGGAUUGGACUAGAUGAUCUUUUGAGGUCCCUUCCAGUCCCAAACAUACCGUGAUACUGUGAUACUGUGAUUUUCGUCGGUUUUGCACCAUCAGCCUGGCAAGAAGGUCUUGUGCUGGGGUGAGGCUGCAACACCACAUACUUGGAAAUUCCAUUUCUAAGUACUGGUGGGUUUGUGGGUACACACAGCUUCUGAGAGCAGCUUUGAGAAGGCUACAAGCUGAAGUCAUUCUAUGGCAUCUGUGCCCUCUGACAGAAGAGGCCUGUGGCUGAGGCCAUGACUGACAGAACUGCCUUUGGCAGAACUUCAAAGUUUCCUGGAGAAGCAUCUGUGUUUCAAGGAAUUCAUCCAAGCAAACAUGAAGCUUUCUGAAGAGGGAAAAGUACACCUGACAUGGAUUCAGAGUAGCAGCCUCCACAGACUCUCUCCAGAUCUUAUCCUGUUGAACCUGGUCCUGCUGCAGUGCUGCCUGCUUGUCUGCCCAGGCCCGAGCAGCCGGUUGUGCAACGACAGGUCUUCUGGGCUGGGUGCUGCCAAGAGACGCAGAUGGAGCUGAGGCUGGUUGCCCCAGAGAGGUGGUUCCUGGUUGCCGAGACCUAACCAAGCCAAAGAGCAAAUAAUGUUCUGUAUCUACACAGCAUUAUCAUGAACUGAGGAAAUGAACAGUUUGGCAGCCUGGCCUGAUAGUUCCCUCUGUUCCUAUUAUGGAAUCUGCUUAUCCCACUACAUUGGUUCCAGGGUCCUCUCCAAGCUGGAGCAUGUGCAGCUGGUUGGAGAAUGGGGUUUUAAAAGCAUCUAUCUGCUUUAAAAGGAAGCUGAGGCAUGUUUGGAAGACCCAGUGCGUUAUUCAGUGUGCAUGGGAUUUUAGCUCCUGCUCAGGUCAGGAGAGGAUCCUAAUGCAUGGAACACUCUGUCAUUCUUGUUUACAAAGUUAUUGUGUUAUUUUAAUGCUAGUCCUUCCUUCAAGUCAAUUUCUAAAAAUUAAACAUAAUAAUAAACUAAAAAUGGUUAUUGAGCUGAAUACAUAGCUUCCAAAUGACUACUUGUAGUCACUGACUAAACUGGAUGGAAAAAUUAAAAUCAUAUGUUUCAAGUCUAUGCCAUUGCAUGGGGUCUACAAAGACGUAGGAGUUGUAACUUUGCUGGUUUUGAUGUGGGGCUAUGAAAUGCCUCUCAGAACAUCUUACUGAAAGUGAACUCCUAGGUUAAAGCCAGAUCUGUUCGUCUGAGACCCCACAACCUCAGAAAAGAAAGAAGUCUUAACUGUUCAGGACUUCUUUAGGCUUUAAAUGAGUUACGUCCAUGCUGGCAUUGUUCAAGCCAUUUCUCUAGAAAUACUAACUGGGAAUGGGAUCAUGGCUGUUUAAAUAAAUUGUGGGUGCUUUUUGUU
Columba livia (rock pigeon) is the source of this 6249-nucleotide long non-coding RNA. RefSeq lists it as uncharacterized. NCBI's taxonomy places the organism in Eukaryota, Metazoa, Chordata, Aves, Columbiformes, Columbidae. The transcript has 3 exons. The record is from RefSeq and is a predicted model, not a curated record.